Molecule: ribosomal RNA, 253 nt
Filed under: uncultured bacterium
Lineage: Bacteria
Description: partial 16S ribosomal RNA
Rfam family: Bacterial small subunit ribosomal RNA
Source: RNAcentral
UACGGGGGGGGUAAGCGUUGUUCGGAAUUACUGGGCGUAAAGGGCUCGUAGGCGGCCAACUAAGUCAGACGUGAAAUCCCCGGGCUUAACCCGGGAACUGCGUCCGAUACUGGCUGGCUUGAAUCCGGGAGAGGGAUGCGGAAUUCCAGGUGUAGCGGUGAAAUGCGUAGAUAUCUGGAGGAAUACCGGUGGCGAAGGCGGCAUCCUGGACCAUUACUGACGCUGAGGCGCGAAAGCUAGGGGAGCAAACGGG